UGGGGAAUAUUGGACAAUGGGCGCAAGCCUGAUCCAGCCAUGCCGCGUGAGUGAAGAAGGCCUUAGGGUUGUAAAGCUCUUUCGCCCGCGAAGAUGAUGACGGUAGCGGGAGAAGAAGCCCCGGCUAACUCCGUGCCAGCAGCCGCGGUAAUACGGAGGGGGCGAGCGUUGUUCGGAAUUACUGGGCGUAAAGGGCGCGUAGGCGGGAUAUCAAGUCAGGGGUGAAAGGCCUGGGCUCAACCUGGGAACUGCCUUUGAAACUGGUAUUCUUGAGUCCGGGAGAGGUGAGCGGAAUUCCCAGUGUAGAGGUGAAAUUCGUAGAUAUUGGGAAGAACACCGGUGGCGAAGGCGGCUCACUGGCCCGGUACUGACGCUGAGGCGCGAAAGCGUGGGGAGCAAACAGGAUUAGAUACCCCCGUAGUCC
RNAcentral lists this ribosomal RNA (424 nucleotides) under uncultured prokaryote. RNAcentral's name for it is "bacterial SSU rRNA". It matches the Rfam family "Bacterial small subunit ribosomal RNA", at positions 355 to 796 of the family's 1533-position model. The record is from RNAcentral.